AAUCUUCCGCAAUGGACGAAAGUCUGACGGAGCAACGCCGCGUGAGUGAUGAAGGUUUUCGGAUCGUAAAACUCUGUUGUUAGGGAAGAACAAGUACCGUUCGAAUAGGGCGGCACCUUGACGGUACCUAACCAGAAAGCCACGGCUAACUACGUGCCAGCAGCCGCGGUAAUACGUAGGUGGCAAGCGUUGUCCGGAAUUAUUGGGCGUAAAGCGCGCGCAGGCGGUUUCUUAAGUCUGAUGUGAAAGCCCCCGGCUCAACCGGGGAGGGUCAUUGGAAACUGGGGAACUUGAGUGCAGAAGAGGAGAGUGGAAUUCCACGUGUAGCGGUGAAAUGCGUAGAGAUGUGGAGGAACACCAGUGGCGAAGGCGACUCUCUGGUCUGUAACUGACGCUGAGGCGCGAAAGCGUGGGGAGCGAACAGGAUUAGAUACCCUGGUAGUCCACGCCGUAAACGAUGAGUGCUAAGUGUUAGAGGGUUUCCGCCCUUUAGUGCUGCAGCAAACGCAUUAAGCACUCCGCCUGGGGAGUACGGUCGCAAGACUGAAACUCAAAGGAAUUGACGGGGGCCCGCACAAGCGGUGGAGCAUGUGGUUUAAUUCGAAGCAACGCGAAGAACCUUACCAGGUCUUGACAUCCUCUGACAACCCUAGAGAUAGGGCUUCCCCUUCGGGGGCAGAGUGACAGGUGGUGCA
This 695-nucleotide ribosomal RNA is filed under the name Bacillus licheniformis. RNAcentral describes it as "bacterial SSU rRNA". It matches the Rfam family "Bacterial small subunit ribosomal RNA", at positions 360 to 1045 of the family's 1533-position model. Lineage: Bacteria; Bacillati; Bacillota; Bacilli; Caryophanales; Bacillaceae. The record is from RNAcentral.